AGCAGCCGCGGUAAUUCCAGCUCCAAUAGCGUAUAUUAAAGUUGUUGCAGUUAAAAAGCUCGUAGUUGAAUUUCGGGACCAAUAUGUCGGUCGUGCUUCGGUACGUACUUGCAUUAUUGGUUUCUCCCUUCUGACGAACCAUGAUGUCAUUAAUUUGAUGUCAUAGGAAAUCAGGACUGUUACUUUGAAAAAAUUAGAGUGUUUAAAGCAGGCUCGUGCUUGAAUACAUUAGCAUGGAAUAAUGAAAUAGGACGUUUGAUUCUAUUUUGUUGGUUCCUAGGAUCGACGUAAUGAUUAAUAGGGAUAGUUGGGGGCAUUAGUAUUCAAUUGUCAGAGGUGAAAUUCUUGGAUUUAUUGAAGACUAACUACUGCGAAAGCAUUUGCCAAGGAUGUUUUCAUUAAUCAAGAACGAAAGUUAGGGGAUCGAAGACGAUCAGAUACCGUCGUAGUCUUAACCAUAAACUAUGCCGACUAGGGAUCGGAUGAUGUUAAUUUUUAAUGA
RNAcentral lists this ribosomal RNA (502 nucleotides) under uncultured Glomus. RNAcentral's name for it is "SSU rRNA". It matches the Rfam family "Eukaryotic small subunit ribosomal RNA", at positions 569 to 1074 of the family's 1831-position model. The record is from RNAcentral. Lineage: Eukaryota; Fungi; Glomeromycota; Glomeromycetes; Glomerales; Glomeraceae.